RNAcentral lists this non-coding RNA (114 nucleotides) under Clostridium amazonitimonense. RNAcentral describes it as "SAM riboswitch (S box leader)". It matches the Rfam family "SAM riboswitch aptamer (S box leader)". Rfam says of the family: The SAM riboswitch is found upstream of a number of genes which code for proteins involved in methionine or cysteine biosynthesis in Gram-positive bacteria. The SAM riboswitch acts at the level of transcription termination control. The predicted structure consists of a complex stem-loop region followed by a single stem loop terminator region. Lineage: Bacteria; Bacillati; Bacillota; Clostridia; Eubacteriales; Clostridiaceae. The record is from RNAcentral.
UCUUAUCGUGAGUGGUGGAGGGACUGGCCCUAUGAAACCCGGCAACCAGCACAUCCUAUUUAAUAUAGGGUGCUAUGGUGCUAAAUCCUGCAGCUAAAAAGCUGAGAGAUAAGA